Molecule: unclassified non-coding RNA, 391 nt
Filed under: Hevea brasiliensis (rubber tree)
Lineage: Eukaryota; Viridiplantae; Streptophyta; Magnoliopsida; Malpighiales; Euphorbiaceae
Source: RNAcentral
UUUUUUAACUGAAUUAUUAUUUGAUAAAAAUAAUUUAAGCAUGAAACUUUACACAUGGUUAUAUAUGUAUAGAGUGAUCAUUCUUGCAACACAAAAGAACCCUCUAUUCCUUUCUCCAUCAAUUGUGGAGGGGGGAAAUUCAAAGGAGAAAACAUGUUAUUAAUACUAGAGGCUGGUGCAGGCUUGAACUCAUAAGGUCCUUCCUUCGCUCCCCACACCUGAUUUCCAUCAUCAUCGUAACCCCUAUCCCAGGUAUGUAUUUCACUGUUCUUUAAAAUUGCAAGUUCUGAAGUGCAGUAGGUUGCUCCAUUCCAUGAAUUUGGGAAUCCUCCAGGGGGUGUAGAACCUUCAUACAAGCAGCGUUUUCCACGGUCACAGCGUUUAAGAUGUA